CCAGAAAUGCGGUACCAGCGUGCGUGCCUACAGCCAAUUUCCCUCUUUGAAAAGCUCAGUCCCAUCCUCCGGAGGGCCCAACCCGCAACGCCAAAGUUAACCCCUUCGGUGAUUCUGCCGGAGGUCUCCCGGGACCCAAGGGAAUCACACCCAUGUGUCCCACAGCCCCCAGGUUAAGGGAGGGCUUGGGUUCUGCUUCCAACCCAGAUAAGAGAGCCAAAGAGAAACACGAAUAAGCAGGCUCAAGCAUUACUGCCUACAGCAAAGAACUUGAACUUGGGCUUGGACGUCAUGGGAGAGGGAACAAACCGGGAACCGCCUCAGACCCCAUAACUGAGGCUGGUUUCGCAUGGAGCCCGGUGCCAGGACGCGCUCUAGCUGCCUCCGCACCCCACCUACACCCCAGCCCCCCAGAGCAAACGCAGAGCCAACAGCCGCCCGAAGCAGCCGCCUUGAUUUACAGUCAAGCUGCCCUGCCUCACCUCCUACCUCCGCCCCAGUCACCAGUACAUGAAAUGAAAGGCUGCAGAUAAAUGAAGAGGCAGGGAGAUUGGACACACUGACUCAUCUAGAAAAUCAUUUUCCUUCUGAAUCUGCAUCUUCUGGGGAGCACACAUCUGUUAUCGUGUGUCAGGGCCAGGAGGAGGCAUUCCCCGGCCCCUGACUUGUCUUUGCUGGGGACCCAGAGGGACCACUCACCGUAAGACUUGCUGAGGACAAUCGCACCAUUAUCCACGGCACAGAAAUGGUGGCAUAGCAAGACCUCAGGCCUCAGAGGGCCACAGAAUCCUUCCAAAUCCUCUGUGAAAGUGUUCACCCUCUAACCAAGUUUUUGGAUGUUGGAG
Long non-coding RNA from Hyaena hyaena (striped hyena), 845 nucleotides. RefSeq lists it as uncharacterized. The transcript is spliced from 6 exons. The record is from RefSeq and is a predicted model, not a curated record. NCBI's taxonomy places the organism in Eukaryota, Metazoa, Chordata, Mammalia, Carnivora, Hyaenidae.